Molecule: ribosomal RNA, 465 nt
Filed under: Vreelandella stevensii
Lineage: Bacteria; Pseudomonadati; Pseudomonadota; Gammaproteobacteria; Oceanospirillales; Halomonadaceae
Description: partial 16S ribosomal RNA
Rfam family: Bacterial small subunit ribosomal RNA
Source: RNAcentral
CCUACGGGGGGCUGCAGUGGGGAAUAUUGGACAAUGGGCGAAAGCCUGAUCCAGCCAUGCCGCGUGUGUGAAGAAGGCCUUCGGGUUGUAAAGCACUUUCAGUGGGGAAGAAAGCCUUGGGGCUAAUACCCUCGAGGAAGGACAUCACCCACAGAAGAAGCACCGGCUAACUCCGUGCCAGCAGCCGCGGUAAUACGGAGGGUGCGAGCGUUAAUCGGAAUUACUGGGCGUAAAGCGCGCGUAGGCGGUCUGAUAAGCCGGUUGUGAAAGCCCCGGGCUCAACCUGGGAACGGCAUCCGGAACUGUCAGGCUAGAGUGCAGGAGAGGAAGGUAGAAUUCCCGGUGUAGCGGUGAAAUGCGUAGAGAUCGGGAGGAAUACCAGUGGCGAAGGCGGCCUUCUGGACUGACACUGACGCUGAGGUGCGACAGCGUGGGUAGCAAACAGGAUUAGAUACCCCUGUAGUC